RNAcentral lists this long non-coding RNA (16568 nucleotides) under Nicotiana benthamiana. RNAcentral's name for it is "long non-coding RNA (NBEN_LNC004756)". The stretch from base 9338 to 9410 matches the Rfam family "tRNA". The record is from RNAcentral. Lineage: Eukaryota; Viridiplantae; Streptophyta; Magnoliopsida; Solanales; Solanaceae.
ACAAAAGAAAGUUAAUUGUGAUAAUGAAGCAAAUUGUGAAGCUUUAGUAUCAUGACUUGAUUGCUACUUUUAUUUGCAUAAUAUUUGAGCACUUGAAAUGUAAUGAAGCUCAUGAGAAGUGUUUGAUAAUUCAUAUGAUUUUGAGUAAUUAUUGGUACCAAUAGAAGUCAUGUUUUUGUACUUAUAGUUAUCCUUUUUGGCUUGGCGUGAAAUGGAUGCGCUAUUGAGUUAAAUACUUGGGAGGAGAUUUUGGUUCUAUUAUUGCUUGAGGAUAAGCAAUAAUCUAGAUUUGGGGAUUGAUAAGUUGGUAUUUUAUCAACUUAUCUUUAAACCUAUACGUUUGUUAUGUCUGAGUGAUAAAAUCGUUUGUUUAAUGUCAUUUACUUUUAUUUUACAGGUUGUAUGUGACUUAGAAAUAAUGGUGAAGAAACUAAGUGAAAACAAGUAAAAAAUGAGCUAAAAUGGACAAGAAGAAACCACCCAGUGAUUUGCUCUUCGCGAACGCGGAGAAGCAAUAAUGCGAAGUACACAAUGUGAAUGCGAUGAAUCAGAACAUGAACCGCAGGCUGAGAUUAGCAAACCUUCGCGAAGGUGUGGUCAUGAACGCGAUGAAGAAACUGGACGAGAAAACUGAGUAGUUUUGAAAUUACACAUUUUUUAUCCCAAACUAUUUAAUGCCAAAACCAGCUUAUUUGUAAAUAUCUUUUGGCAUAUUUUCAGUUCUUAGUACUAGAAAGUAAGUCUUGAAGUAGGGUUUUCACAUAUAUAUGAGAUUUGAAGAUUUCAAGCUUGUGGUUAAGGAUUUGUUACCCCAUGUUUGUUUAUUUCUUCAUUUCCUUGAUUUGUAUUCAAUAUUUAAAUGUGUAGUACUUAUUUCCAUCACUUGAAUCUUGUUUAUGGAAAUAUUCAUAGUUAAAAAAAAUCCAACUUCCAAAAUUUGAUACGCUCAAAUUACACUUUAAUUAAGUAGUGUAAGGCGGUCAGUGUCAAAUAUAAUAACCCAAUACGAUUAGGAUAAAAUCCCAUAGGGAAUAAGUGUGAAAAGUCUAAUCGAGUAGUGUAUAACUUGACUUAUGUCGUAAUUCUAUUUUGUUAAUAUUAACAAUAGUAUGGUAUGAUUGUGAUUUGAAGAGAGAACUAAUUGUAAAUUUGAGAAUGUUAGCAACUUGAUUAAGGAAGACGGAGUGAUCUUUCCCUCUUAUGAAAGCCGGUAUCUCACUUUCGAAAGAGAGUCUCGACGUGGCGGUGUAGACCUAGCUCCAUAGCUGGGCUAGUCACUGGCUAGAGGGCGACCGACCUACCGGACUCUCGACGUGGAGGUGUAGACCUAGCUCCAUAGCUGGGCUAGUCAAUGGCUAGAGGGCGACCGACCUACCGGACCGGAGGCUGCCGAGAAUGUUAUGUAAAAAGGACCAAGGAGGAUCCUAUCCUAAAGGAGAAGGAGUAGGAGUAGGAGCUAGCUUUAGGGGCGGAAUCGAAUGAUUACGAGAUAAAAAAUGAGACAAAGGAGAGCACUUAGACAAUUCACUUUGAAUACUAGGAAGUCUGCUGGUAGGAAUUCCUCAGGGCGUAUUACGGUUUUUCACCGAGGGGGUAGAUCGAAGCGAUUGCAGCGAAGAAUUGAUCUGAAACGAAGCACUUCGUCAAUAGGCAUUGUAGAAAGGAUAGAAUAUGAGCCUAAUCGUUCUUCUCGAAUCGCUCCAGUGCGAUGGACCGGGGGGGGGGGUUCCGGCAGAGAAAAUGUAAGACGAUAGAAGAGUUCGCUCCGCCGCGUAAGAUCCUUGAAUCAACCACGACUACCAUCUGAGGUCCAUUUUCGUUCUCUUCCCUGCCCGGGAAGGGGGAUCAAUGAAAGGUAGCUUGCUUCUCUCCUGGACGGAUGGCAACUUAUGUAGUGGUCGGCUUUCCUACCAGAAUGCCUUUUUGGUCGAAGAGCCCCUUUUUUACUAGUGAGGACGCAGGAAGCAAAAAAACUUGCGAGAAGGCCGUUUUCUUCUCUGCCCUCUCCUCUCCAAAGGCCAAGGGAGAGACUGCAUCCCUUUCCUUCGGUAGCUCUUUUGGUUUCCCAAGGAUAGCGGUAGCUGGGGCAAAGCCCGCUUUCUUCGCUCCGCGAAUGAGAGAGAAAGUCAGAGGAAAAAACACGUUCUCUCUUUGCGAGAUCCGAAAGUGGAGAACGCAUAGCAUUCUAUGGGUACAUAGGAUCAAACGUAAAGCAGCGCUCUCUUGGCAGAGUUUUAGGCGGCAAGAGACUUUAGGGCUUGUUGGAGCUUCUGAGCGUAACGAAUCGAAGCCGAAGACGGAUCAAGGUAGCUUGCCUGCCAAGCCGAUAGGCGAAGGGCUGAAGGAUGGAACGUGCAAAGUAGAUCGUGCACCUGUCGUGUGACCCGUUGGUCCUAAGCAAUGUCUUGCGCGAAGCGACCCACUUAGAAAAAGCUCCCCUUUAUGUUAGGGGAGCACUAAAAUGCAACUUCGAUCGGAUGCGGGUAUCAAAUCCUGCCGCUGAGAUGUCCAGCGGAUUUCUGGGCCUUGACGAAUGGCCGGCCACCUUUUACUCUAGAAGAGCAAAAGGCCCAGGGCAUAGUAGGAUGAACCAAUGUGAAUGAGUGUAAGCUUCGUUGCCCGAACACGAUUGGUGCUGACCACACUAGGUGCUACCGUGGUAGCAAGAGAGGUCAGGCGGUGACAAUUGAGAGGUUGUCACUGAGCAUUCCUAGUCACACGGGAAAAGAGGUCAAAUGGCAAGGCCAUACGCCCGUUUGGCUCCUCGCGGAGUAUAGCUCACAUCCAAACAUCUGAUUGGGGAACGGGGCUACACCCAUGAAGCUCCGGCGGUAAGGGAAGGCCUGCCAGGCCGUAUGCCCAUGGGUGCAGGAUUCUUCGAUAAAGCGCGGGCUGACUCGGAGACCUGGGACCUUGUCUUAGUAAUGAAUGAAGGGAAGCUCUUCGAGCUUUCUCCGCCAGCGGCAUAUGUAGUCGUCGGCCUUAGAAAGCUCGCUAAGCCUCGCUUCCCUCUCCCCUUCACUUAUUAGUUAAGUGGAAAAUUGUCGUCGGCAUUCUAUAAGCGACUUGACCGAGUCUACGAAGCUUUGCUUUUCUUGUAGACGGCCCGUAAUGCCUCCCUUCAUUUGCUUGCCUCCUUUCAGCUUAAAAUGCCUAAUGCCUAUUAUUUAGUGCUAGAAGCUAACCGCCAUAAACUCACCCUUCGGGUCUCGCAUCCAGCGCAGGAGGCCAAGCAUUCUGCCAGACGUCCCGGCCUGGGAGCCCCGUUCGCCUUUGGUACUUCAGUAGAUCUUCUAAAAUAAAAAGCGCUACUUCAGCCUUAACUACAACUACAUUACGCAAGCCCCGCCGAUACCUACCUAUAGAGUCAAAUUAAAAUCAAAAAGUACCAGUGACGGCGACUUUCUAGGUUUAUGGAUUCAGUCAGCUAAACUCCAUCAAACUCCUCAAUCAAUAUCAACAAGAUGUCAAAAAGUACCAGUGAUGUCGACUUUCUAGGCAUAUGGAUUCAGUCAGCUAAUCUCCAUCAAACUCCUCAAUCAAUAUCAACAAGAUGUCAUGACCGCUUAGGCUUGGUUUACUUUGGUUCAAAUGUAAACUAAAAUAAGCGGCAUUUAUUCAAACAAAGGGAACCGAAGGUUUCCUUGUUUAGUAGUACGAAAAUAGUUCUACUAUUAAGAUGUUUAAUAUUAAUAAGAAAUAUUCAGUGUUGUAGCUGUAGAACAGAAUGUCGUUCGCCUUUACUUUGACUUUCUGAGAAGGACUUAAGUAGCUAAGUUUCCAAAGGUGAACACCCCCUGUCCUUUAUAGUAUAGACGUAAAGGGCUUCUCAGAAAAGUCAGGAAGAAGGCAUUCGAAAGACCGACCACUAUCUCAUAGGCAUUCUGGUGGUAAAACCGACGACUACAAGGCUCUAUACCAAGUCAUGAGCGAUAGCGAAGACAAGCCGCCGUCUAUAGGUGAAGGGAUGAAAGCCUGAUGAAGGCCUCUGCUACAGUAAGAAAAAAAGUACGUUGAGGUUUCGAAGUCACUUAGCCGUAUACUAUACAAAGGGAAAGGCGUCGGUACGGAGUCACGUCAGCUGUGGAUAUAGACUAGGCUAUAAGGAACGGAGUCAACAACUAUGGACCGAGACUACACUAAGGAACAAGGAAGCUUGACUGAGAAAAGAAGUCAAGGAACAAAGCUGCUUUUCUAAUAGCCCCGUUGAAUAGGAGGGCGAAGGCUUUUUGAAAAAGUCUUUUUUAUCUUGUAAAUGCAUUUUUUUCUAUUUAGAGAGUGGGGGCUUCAUGUUCUUAGGAAGAGCCGUACGAGACAGCUCACGUACGGUUCGGGAGCAGAGCCCCUGCGCAGGGGCUUAGGUCAACACUUAUAUAAUAGCCAGUCAUCAAUUGGAAGCGGGCAAGAUGGUGAUGAAUUGCGAUUGGUCUAAUGCUUCGACUAGCGACUUAUUGCGACCUGCCCAGAAUGCCCGUACAGACUAAGACCUUAUUCACACAGCGAAGAAAGGCCGAGUGGAAUGGGGCAGGCAGCUGGCUGCUUCUUUGCCAUGCGCUUUGCUUCGCUUUAUUUUAUAAAAGAAAGAGACCAAAUGAGAGUGAAAGGCAAGGGCAAGCGAUAGAAAGGAGAGUCCCUCGCGCGAACUACUACUACUAGAAAAUGGUGAGACCAUUAGUGAAAGAAGGACCAAGGAGGAUCCUAUCCUAAAGGAGAAGGAGGAGUAGGAGGAGUCAGUUUUCUUUGAAGAUCGAGGAACGUAGUGUCGGACAAUUAUGCCAUUCGGAAGAAGUCUUCUACAGAAGAAAAGCCUGUUACGAGUAAGUGGAGAGGAAAGAUCUCCAGGGAUUCUUAUCUCGUGCCAUUCGGAAGAAGUAUUCUACAGAAGAAAAGCCUGUUACGAGUAAUUGGAGAGGAAAGAUCUCCAGGGAUUCUUAUCUCAUUCCAUUCCAGUGGCUCAACCAGUAACCAAUGGCGAAAACUAAAAAAUCCAUGGUUUCCAGGUAGAACCCUAUUUCGCCCAAGUUAUUUCGGUACCGGAAAAAAAAAUCGGUUUUUCGCACAGCUUGCUCAUAGUGUAGGUCCCACUUGUAUAUCGUAUUUGGCCGAAGAAGCAUCGGACAGGUUGGAGUUCGUACCUUCUUGGGACUCCAUGGACCAAGAUCUGCUUUUAUUAUAUGGUCAAUACCAAUCUACUUUAGUAGAUCAUGUGGAUGUAGAAAAAGCUUCUAAUUUGGAUGAAACAGAAACAUCUCUUUUCCAUUACUAUUUACCCAGUUCAUAUCUUUGUUUCGUGUGUUCCUGGGAGGAAUUCGAUCUCGGAAUACCACCUAAAUAACUACGGCCAGAGAGUCAAAUAGGUCGGGAAGAAAGAGUCUGAGGUCGGGUCGGACGACAUACAUCUUGGUUGGUUCCACCACCACUUGAGAUUAGACAUAUAUAAUCUUUAUUCUAAUAAAGGGAUACUUAUAUAUAUAUUUUUAAAAUAGCUGCAAGACCAAACGGGGUGCAAAAAACCGAAAGCCCUUCUUUUAUUUAUGUUCCUCCCAGAUACAUGGCUUACAUACCCGGCUCAACAUUCUUGGAAAACAAUCGAAUCGAGGGUUCGGAGGAGAAUUGGCCAUUCAAUCUUGUGAACUAAUCGAGACCGAAAUUGGAAAAAGAGAUACGAACGGAGAGGAAUAACCAAUCGAUGAAAGAACAUGAAACCAUUCUGUUUCAAUAGAGGUACGAGAAACGGUUGGGGGCAAUGAAGUAGGUGAAGUGGUUGGAUUUUGCGAGCUGUUCCAACCACUGCUGGAUGUGAUUCCAAGAGCCGAACGAGAAUGAAUACCACAUAGAAGAGUCAUGACCAUGCUCCCCAAUGGAAUGUUUAACCGAUCCAUUCCGGAUCGACCGAAUUGGUACGGAAGUUGAAACAUGGGAAAACCACGGAAAACUCGACUUAUUUGAAUAACCCGGUGACCUACCAAUUGUAGAAGUUGGAUUUUUGGCAAGCAAUAAGCACUUAAAUAAUACAAUUCAAGUGUACCAUCUUCUUUCUCAUUUCGAGGAAAAGGUGCGGAAGGAAAAGGAAACAACGGAGGGAUCCGAAUCGGACCUAAAUGGGAAUGACAUGAAAAGUCUUUUUCAAAACCUAGCAUUAAGGGCGUUACGACGAUAUACGAGAGGAAUAGAGAAAAACUCGUGAUUGGUGUGGAGGGGAAGAUCUGUUUAUGAUAUAGUUCAAGAAAGAGUCGUCUCAUUUCCUUACUUCUUUCUAAUUCAUUCACUUCAAGACUGGUUCUGAACGCCGCCUAACAUCAUCUUCAACCAACCUCCACCGUACUUUCGGUGCGACCACUAAAGAAUUGCUUAUACACUAAACAGCUGCUUAUAUACGUUUACUAAAAGACUGACUUUCAUUCAUUAUCAUUAGUCCAGCGUGAAACUAAGAAAGAGAGAUGUGCCUAAGGCGGCAUGUAAGCAAACUGUGCACGCUAAGAGAAGAGGAGAGAUGUUCGCAAUUACUACCACAAGAAAGCCGCCCCCUAUCUUCUAAAGGGGCCCGUCACUUCGUUCGUACCUUCUUGGCUUAGGCUUCCAACUGAACAACAUGGCCUUGCCGCCCCGCCACUAGCAGAAGCUAAGCGCUUGAAAAGCGCGCUAAGAAAGGUUGCUUCUGUCGCCCUUUCUGUGCAACAGUCCACCAGUAGCGGAAGAGAGGGCUACCGUACAUACAAGAGUCUUCCAGUUCUUACGGAAGCUCUUUCUUACCAGUCAUCAAGUAGUACAAGAACUGUAUCUUAUCUUAUAGCCCGGCGCGGCGGGUCGCCUUUUAAAUAAGUAGAUAGAAGAAAGUAUAAAAUAGAUAAGGAGUAGGUGAGUGAGUGAGUCCUCACUGACCUGAGCGAUUUCGAUCACCUAGCAGGCCUUUUAUUUGGUAGGUAACAUCGCCAAAGCGUAUCAUCAGAUUUGACUACGAAGGAAGGAACUCGAAGUGAAAGGGCACCGUCUUGUGCAAGGCAACGAUAGUUGGCCCUCUAUCAUCUUCUAUCUGGUAGACUUGGUAAAAGGGCCCCGACUUAUUUCCAGAAUAAGAGUUCGACCGAGGCACCAUCUUGUGCAAGGCAACGAUAGUUGGCCCUCUAUCAUCUUCUAUCUAUUAGACUUGGUAAAAGGGCCCUGACUUAUUUCCAGAAUAAGAGUUCGACCGCGGCUUCCCCCUUUUUUGGGGGGGGAUCAAGUUCCUUGCCAACUGCCACCUAUCGACCCCGACCUCUUUUCAUUUGUUUUGGAUAUUACCAAACCUAGCCUAGCCUUCGUAAAUCACACUAAAGCGGACACCCAACUAUGGAAAAGCCUCCUUAAGGGGGGGUUAGGUUAGUCAAUCUAUCAAUCAUGUACAUAGGUAGGACCCUCCAUUCUGAUUGGUAUAUCAUGAAAAAAGAAAGCCAUUUGCACCAGGCGCACUGCGCUUUCCCUUGCCCAGAUGUUUGCCUUUCUAAGUCAAGUAAUGGUGACCCACCGAAGACUGGAGCUUCGCAACAUGUUGACGAAGGCCCCCGAAUUGAGGGUUCGGUCAGUAGAAGGGACGACUUUUUCUCCACGGAAGAAGAAUAGCCCCGCUCUCUAGCCGACUGAUCCCGUUGAUCAUAUAACUGUGAGGGAACGUGUCACAUUAGAGGUGAACGAUCAGAGGUGUCCACGACGAGGCUGGUACCUCUUUUAGUAGACUCAGCUAUGAAUAUUCAUGAAGAAAUGAAUGCCGGGCUCUUUCUUUCAGUGCUAACCCCAAGAAGUUUCAACAUGCUGAAACUUUCCGUUUCGUCGAGCCUCGAGAUUGUGGUCCUCCUUUGAGUGUGGGUUCAAUUGAAUGAAUCUGUCAAGUCAAGGAAAACGUACGUAGCAGCAAGGAUGGUGCAUCGCCUAUUUAUCGUUCUCGCUCGGGAGCCAAAACGAACACGCCUGCUACCUACUGUACUGGACCUUCGACCAGGCAUUCUACCUUUGUCGAAUCGGAACCAACACCACUGCAUUGCGCUCGAACAGUUGAGCGGCCGCCGGCCAGCAACUUCCGUGCACAGAUAUAGAUUCAUUCUUCGUACCUGGUCCAGCCUCACAACCCUUCGCGUUUAUCCUUCUUGCUCGGGAGCCAAAAAGAACACGCCUGCUACCUACUGUACUUGACCUUUGACCAGGCAUUCUACCUUUGUCGAAUCGGAACCAACACCACUGCAUUGCGCUCGAACAGUUGAGCGGCCGCCGGCCAGCAACUUCCGUGCACAGAUAUAGAUUCAUUCUUCGUACCUGGUCCAGCCUCACAACCCUUCGCGGGUUGGUAAGAAGUCAGUCUUGUUUGGUAAGACGGAAUUGGACAAAGAAAAGAGAGUGCUCGAUACCGGCCAGCAAUUUCCGUGCACAGAUAUAGAUUCAUUCUUCAUACCUGGUCCAGCCUCACAACCCUUCUCGGGUUGGUAAGAAGUCAGUCUUGUUUGGUAAGACGGAAUUGGACAAAUAAAAGAGAGUGCUAGACCGCAACAACGACCAACAACGUAAUUACAUAGAUAACUGCUCCUCCCCUGAUCCUUAUGGCUUUAUGGCGAACCGUAUGGCAGCUGGAAAGAAAGACGACCUCACCUUCUCAGGUGUCAGUGAGAGAUAUUUGAGUAUCCCCCGUUGACCUUCUUUUGUAGAUAGAAUCUUCAAUGAGUGGAAACAAGCAACCUUACUAAGAAAGGUGCUUGUUGAGUAAGGCCGGCUUUCGAGCCCAAGCCCCUUUACUAGGUUGGGCGCUUGAGCACAUCUUUCUCAUAUCGAUCAAGGCUUUCCUUGAGUUUGAAAUAAGGGGCAAGAAGCAAGGGCGUAGCAGCUGCGCGAACUUGCACCUUGGCGCAUCCGUUUUCUUGCAGCAGUGCUAAGGCGCGACCUAACGUUUUCUUCCGCUUGCUCAGCAGUACGAGCCUCAUACAAAGCUGCGCUCCUUUAAUAUGAUGAGAAGAAGGGGGACCGGCCUCUUUUCCGUACCAAUCCUUAUUUACUACUUCAUCUUUUUUGGGCUGUAUAGCUCAGUUGGUAGAGCAUUGGCCUUUUAACCUAAUGGUCGCAGGUUCAAGUCCUACUAUUCCCAAACCUACCUUACACUCUACUCUGAAUAAGGAUGCAUAGUAGCCUUCAAAGACGAAGUUGCGCCUUAGCACAUCCGUUUUUUUGCAGGAGUGCUAACGUGCGACCUUACGUUUUCUUCCGCUUGCUCUGCAGUACGAGUCUCAUAGAGAGCCGCGCUCCUUUAAUAUGAUGAGAAGAAGGGGGGCCGGCCUCUUUUCAGUACCAAUCCUUAUUUACUACUACAUCUUUUUUGGGGUGUAUAGCUCAGUUGGUAGAGCAUUGGGCUUUUAACCUAAUGGUCGCAGGUUCAAGUCCUGCUAUACCCAAACCUACCUUACACUCUACUAUGAAUAAGGAUGCAUAGUAGCCUUCAAAGAUGACUCUUUGGCCUUUAGACUCGCUUCGGCGACUUCGCCCUUUAAGUGACAAGGGGGUGAGCCGCUCCAAGCGGAAAGCGAUAGUGAAUCCCGAACUUGCCCACGCUCAUCCAAACCGGCCUCAAAAAGCGAUCGGAAAGCGAAGCCCUUCCUUCCAAUCCAAGCCGGCGAAGCCGCCCCUAUAUCUAACCACCGCUCACCCCGAUCACAUAUUGGCACGUUCAUGAUGCAUCAUAAUCAAAAGGCCGUAAAGUAAAGAAGACCUAUGCAUCAGUGUACUGUCAUGAUCACAUAUUAGCUCGAUUUUAUUGACGGCUUGAAGGCGAAGCCGCCUAUUUCUUAGGGCAAAGGGCGCUCCAUCCUCCUAACUCCUUCCACUUCUCCCAGGGACAGGAACUACGGCUUGACCUUCGGGGAAGAAGUCCGUGGGACCCCUCCUUCGAGGGCGCCUAGAUAGUGAAAGGUUAUCCCUUUGCAACGCUGGAAGCUAAGCAAAGUCACGAAGCUGGCUGACUACGCUCGAGCAGAGCUCAGACCCGGAGGUGGUGGCUGAACUCGCCGCAGAGUUCAGGAGCGAGCAAGACUAUCUUGGUGAAUGCAAUAAGAACCGGCUGCUCGCCGCAGCAGAGUGCUUUGCCCAUGCUGCUAUCCGCCGCCGAAGCACUCAAGGGAUUCGUUCUUGAAUGUCGAGAUCAGGGGACUCUAUCCAAUCCAUGCGACAAAUCUGUUUGUGGUGGAAAAAACUCAACAAUAAAAAGAAAUAUAUAGAAUAUAGAAAAUCAUUGAAUUUGUUUGCUCCGAUACAAGAGAUCGGCCCCAAAACAAGAUAUGGUGGGUGCCAGCAACUUUCACUUGUUAGGAGUAGGGGCUGAAAAGAGCUCUAUGUAUAGGGUGGGUUUUCUGGGCUUUGAUGCUUACCUUCUUAUUAUUAAAAGGGGAAGGUUUAAUAAAGGAGCUUUUCAGCCCUUUUGCUGGAUUGUUGGUCCGCAGCCCCGCCCUAUAGAAUGAAUAAGGAGAGGCUUAUCGAUGACCGAACCACUCUUAUACUACUCCUUACCUCACCCCCCUUGUCACUUAAAGGAAAAGCCAGAGAAGGGGGCCUGCUGGAAACCCUCGCCUUCGGCUCCAUACUGAAAAGGCCGGCCAUGAAGGGACAUCACGACUAUCCUUUCUGGGAAUACCGGGCUUUAUAUGAUCCUGAUCAGUGAUCAGUACACUGAAAAGGCCGGCCAUGAAGUGACAUCACGACUAUCCUUUCUGGGAAUACCGGGCUUUAUAUGAUCCUGAUCAGUGAUUAGUAUAUUUUAAUAUUGUGGACCCUUAUGUGCUUUUUUUUUUGUUAUACUAGCGGCGGCAGAUCUAUUAGUAAACAGGAGACGCUAUCGCUCACCCGGCUGGAUGUACACUCUGACGGAUGGAUAGGCGUAGCAGAAAAGAAAGGGUCAAUUACAAGAGUAAGGCGGAGGAAAAAAGACGAGAGAGCAAGACCCAGGAGGCUCGCAGCUACCACGGCCGUAAGCACUCCGCUCGUUCGUAAGCCCCUUUAGAGAUAGGGGCGAGCCAGGAGCUUACUUCAAGUAUCUAUGACUCUGGUGGCAACACGUGACAGGCGAAUGACAUGAUUCUUGAGGAGUUACACGACGGCCAUGUGAUGAUGCAUCAAAUAGAUGCAAGGGUGGAUGACUCGGUAGGUCCUUGUAUGGACUGAUUGUGUUCCCCACACGGAGAGCAUUAGAGGAAAUAGGAGUGGACAUCUAUAUGGGCUUCAUGUGAUUCGAAGCCAACCACUACGUAUUGCAAGAAAGUCCUAUGUGUACCUAUGUAUACCUAAUGAAAGCCAAAAAGAGCCUCUUAACACUUACCUGCCUAAACCAAGCAAGAUUCAAGAAUAAAUACAUUACCAGCAAGAUACUUUACGGCUUAGCCAAAAAAGGUGAGCGCCUAGCGUGAGCCUUAUUGAAAACGGCCUAGAUAACGAGCAAUCUUUCUAAAGCAAGAAGCAAGGGCGCAGCAGCAGCACGAAGUUGCUUCUUAGGGCAUAUCCGUUUUCUUGCUAGUUAGCGCUUGACUAAUAAGAUAGAAAGAGCCUUUCUUGCUUGUUUAGUAAAGUCAAGCUUUGGCGGUAGGGUUGGGGUGGCUUGCUGGGGCACUCGUGCCCUUACUAGUUUUGGGGCUUUGAUUGGCAAAAGCGGUUUUCGCCUUCUAGCCAGCAGUUGCCGGAUUAGCCUUCGGACUUUCCUUACCCGCCUUUAUUGAGAAAGAAGAGAUCUAAAGGUUGGACAUCCAUCGCUGCCGUGAUGACGCGGUUGAAUGUUCAUUCGAUCCAACACCCGGCCGAUCAAACCUAUCCUUGGGUUUGAUCCAGCAAGUGAUUCCCUCACCGAAAGAGGGAUAGUUGUUAGGUCAUGAAUGGAAUGCGAGGAAGAGAGAUAAGCAGUUGGCGGGGACCAUCCGUUAUCGGUAGAAAUGCCGGUCGGAAUUCGAGAACGGUCCAUCCCACCAUAAUGGAUCUCUCCUACCGCUACCUACUAGUUGAUCGAUUUAGGGAAGGAAAGAAAUGCCGAUGUUGCAAUUCUUCCCAUCCCGAUAAAGUGAGUCACCCGUGAUUCGAUAGUUCCAUUUUCCGCUGAUGCAGGCCGAUUGGGAUCCCAGCAGUCAAACCACUGUGUUCGUUCCUCACCCUCCUUCCAAUCAAAUCUAUUCUAAGGUGUCCGGAGGCAGGGGAAAGAAAGGAGGGAUUGAUCGACCAACUUGAACAGAUCCAUAACCUGCUUCCAUCUGUCCUGAAUGAGGGAAUUAAGGCGGGUAUAGUCGAACUGAACUGCUUGAUUCUAAGGUGGGUGAUAAGCAGCUGUAUCCGUAUCAAGCCUACCUAAACCACUCUGUUCGUUCCACACCCUCCUUCCAAUCAAAUCUAUUCUAAGGUGUCCGGAAGCAGGGGAAAGAAAAGAGGGAUUGAUCGACCAACUUGAACAGAUCCAUAACCUGCUUCCAUCUGUCCUAAUGAGGGAAUUAAGGCGGGUAUAGUCGAACUGAACUGCUUGAUUCUAUGGUGGGUGAUAAGCAGCUGUAUCCGUAUCAAGCCUACCAUCUCUUCUCACGAAAGACUUUCCAUCCCGUCUCUGAAAGUUUUGCAAUAUAAGUGGCCCUGCUUCAAAGCCCCAGAAAACCCCCCUUACUCUCUCUCUAUAAAAAAAAGCCCUUUCCCCUUUCUUUAAUAAUAUAAGGUAAGCUUUGAAAAGUAACACGCUCCCGACAGGCAAUUAAUCCUCCCCAGAAAACCCCGCUUACUCUCUCUCUAUAAAAAAAGCCCUUUCCCCUUUCUUUAAUUAUAUAAGGUAAGCUUUGAAAAGUAACACGCUCCCGACAGGCAAUUAAUCCAUAAUAUCAUCCAUCGUUGGCAUUAUUGGAAAUAAAUCACCCAACUCUUAUUCAAAGCCCAUCUACACACUCCAGCUGCUUCCUUUUGAGCUAGUCAAGCAGGCGUUGAACACGGACUGAGACUCUCCCGCCCCUUUGACAGCAAUUCCUGCACUUGACGUCGGAUCUCCUCAUUUUCAAAUGGGGAUAAGCGAGAAGCCGCUUUGCAGGGUAGACUCGCUCCUACCUGCAACUAAAUCUGCUUCUAUAUCCUCCUCUUAUCUUAGGGGGUAAUCAAGCCGGUACUUGUGGAUUCAGGGGCGGCAUCAAGUCGGAAGAGUGUCGCAGAAAGAUAAAGAUCUGCACUUCCCUUUUACAACAUAGGAGGGAGGGGGCCUCGUUCCUAAAAAGCCUUUCCGAUUGCCUCCGCCCCUAUCUCUUAAAGCUACGGCAUCCCACCGAUCCCCGAAUCGGCUCUGCUAGUUGGCUUUGUUGCUAUCAAGGCAUAGCAUUCUAUGGACUCUUUCCCACGUCCAGAAAUGGUAUGCCAACAAAUACCUUUUGUCCUUAGCCAACCAAAGUCUUCUGAUGGCAAUAACCGCGUUUCCCGUUAAAACUAAAGCGGUGUUAUCUCUACGCAGGUAGAACCCUACUCGUAUUACCAAGGUCUUCCGAGUAGGAUAUGUAAUACGUCCAUAAGGACGACGUCACACCAGACGUCCUGCUUUAACUUCCCUAGCCCCAACUGAUCUACCAUCUCCGUGGACGCUAUCUUAUCCAAACUCCCAGCAUCAAUGAUUAUCUUUGCACUGGCCAAUUCCGACAUAGAUUUUGAAUACAGCCUUCCGUCUUCUCCUAACGUCCUGCUUUAACUUCCCUAGCCCCAGCUGAUCUACCAUCUUUGUGGACGCUAUCUUAUCCAAACUCCCAGCAUCAAUGAUUAUCUUUGCAUUGGCCAAUUCCGACAUAGAUUUUGAAUACAGCCUUCUGUCUUCUCCUCCUUUCUGCUGACGUUGCCACACAAUCUAAUGACAGUGAAACUGUCUCCUCUCCUAAGCUUGAGAACACCCGCUAUGUUUCCGACUUGAACUUACCUUUAGAGCUUCCCGGGCUCUAGGCUCGACAACGUUCACUCUUCCAUCUUCAGCUGGUCUAUUCUGCACUCCCCUAGCAGCAUUCGUCUGUCUGAACAUUGGAACAGUAACGAGAAAAAUGCCCCACUUCUCCACAUUCAUAACAGUUACCAGAUCCCUUCUGCUGAGCCUUUUCUUAUCUCCUCUGCAGCAAGCUCUGCUGGCCUCGUGCUCCAAACUGAUGGUGUCUCGACGUUCUCCUGGCGCUCUCCCCCUUUAAGAAGUGUAUAAAAAGGCUCACGUUUUUUGGCUUCCUAUAAACCCCUCCUAGGUUGUGGCAACUUUCUACUCCUCCUGAGCUGUCUUGCCCUAUCUAAAAUGACUUCGAGCAUCCAGCUUCACCACUGCUGCCUGCUCUCUCCUUCUUCGGCACUUCCCAGUCCACAACAGACCUGGUCUUCUCUUGAUCCAUCUGAAUCACACCCUUGCUGAUCCAAUGGCCAAGAAAUAGCACUUUCGUCUGAGUACUCUUUCACGUAUAGCCUCUUUUCCUGCUACACCCGGAACACUUUACUCAGGGUUCCAAACCACCAGUGAGUGACUAUAAACGAUUAUGUCAUUGAGGUUUUCCACAACAAACUGGUCAAGGUAAGGGUUUGUGUUAUCCAUUUAAGUGCGGAACAAGACCUCAAUUGGGAUGAUAUUCAUAGAUCGCUUACUAUUUGUGUACGUUAUGGAGUCUCCACUCCAUGUUGAAAGCUUUUUCAAAUAGCAUGAGCGUUGAAAGUCUUCAAUUCGACUAGAGCGUUAGAUUAUUUUUUUAUUUUGACUUCUUUCAAAGGGCAAUGAAUAGGAUGAAAGGGGUUCACUGGAGUUUGUCUCUUGAAAAUGGUUUUAUUUAUUUAUUCUCUUGAAGGUCUUUUUCUCUAUUUUAUUUCAUGGUAUCAAAGCCAACAAGAGAAUUAGGUGCUAAAAAAGAAGCCAAAACCUGCUUGUUGAAAGAAUCAAACUCUUCCUGUCUGCUUUUUCUUUUUUAUUUUAUGAUCGAGGAAACCCUUUUUUUUAUAUGCCCUAUACCCACCCAAUUUCUUAUGUACACAAGAAGGAUCAUAAUUCUUUAUGUUUNNNNNNNNNNNNNNNNNNNNNNNNNNNNNNNNNNNNNNNNNNNNNNNNNNNNNNNNNNNNNNNNNNNNNNNNNNNNNNNNNNNNNNNNNNNNNNNNNNNNNNNNNNNNNNNNNNNNNNNNNNAUAAUCAAUCCUAUUUGUUUUGUUCAUUACUAAAAUGAAUCGAAUCCUAUCAAAUAUUUAUAUUUAUCCUUUGAAUUACUCAUAUAUAUCCUAUGAAUUUCAUUUCGCACCGGAAACUAUUCUAGGAGAAGUUCGAAUCCGUUCCGUUCGGAUAUUGAUUGGUCUUGGUUUGACAUGGUUUACGCGUUACUGGUUCCCGGAAGAGUUAAUAUCUCCAUUAGCUAAACCCUUUCUAACCCUGCCUUUGGAUUCAUUUUUUGUUCGUACACAAUAAACGGAGGCCUUCCCGACAUAUGUUGCAACGUCUCCAAUAGCAUGCUCUUACUUCGUCUUUCCNNNNNNNNNNNNNNNNNNNNNNNNNNNNNNNNNNNNNNNNNNNNNNNNNNNCAAUAGCAUGCUCUUACUUCGUCUUUCCCUUAAUAAGUCAUCAAACUUGGUGCUUUUUGAUCCCUAGUUGCUAUGGGUAACAAAGGACGAAAUACAAUCGAUUCCUCCAUUUAAGUGGUUCUCGCUUCUCCUUGUUCCUGUUCCUAAAUCCUCCCCGGGUAGUUCCCAAUGUUUGGCACUUUCCAUACUUCAUGGGUGCAACAUCAACAAAUUAGCUCAUGAUCAAGCUACAACCUAAGAUCUAUGACCAUAUUAUGUUAACUGUUCGUAUUUCGUUCAUUCCAUCGGUAUGCUCCUAGGUACCUGUAAUUGUAAUCCGUUUGCCAGAACAAAGGGGUCUUUCUGUAGAAACCUCCACGAACAAUCGUUGUUUUUAUAUGGCUUUUCCGUUUCUCACAGCUGCUCUUUCCACACCUCCGGAUAUCUGGUGCCAAAUUGUCGCCCCUUUCCUUAUUUCAUUGAUAACAGAGUUGGCUAUCUUUGUUGCAUCGAUUGUACAAGUUCGUGAAGAGGGCUGGACGAGUGGAAUGAGGGAAAGCGGCUAGAUCGAGAAAGAAGAAGAGUAGCCUCCCUAGAACCUGGCAAAGUCAUUAUCAAUGAAUUCCCGAGCAAUUCUCAACCAACAUAUGCGAUUCAUUCCCGUAAAGAUUAUAACACACAAGAAGACUCCUUACCGCUCCGUGGGGAGCGGGAUGAGUGAUACAUCUGGCGAGCGCCGGUGAAGAACGCAAGCAAAGCUGGAGCUCGGGUAUUGAUAUAUUCCAUCAAGAGAAAGGAGGCAGACUGGUAAGAAGGCCGACCACAUAGGGGGGGCGAACCGAAAAACUCAGCUUUUCGGAGCGGACCAAUCUUCCGUGCCGCCCCCCCCUUACUCUCUCUCUAUAAAAAAGCCUGCGGGAAGCGCGAAGAGCUAAGCCACUAAUGUCGUGGCGAAGGUUAGACCUCAUAAAGUCAGCGAAGCUAAGGUUUCGUAUGUGUUAUAUCCUUUCGAUCGAGUGAGAACUUAUGAGGAAGGCCUUCAUUGCCCUUUGAAAAAAGUA